GUAAGGAAUAUUGGUCAAUGGGCGCAAGCCUGAACCAGCCAUGCCGCGUGCAGGAAGACGGCCCUACGGGUUGUAAACUGCUUUUGUACCGGAAUAAACCUUGAUACGUGUAUCAAGCUGAAUGUACGGUAAGAAUAAGGAUCGGCUAACUCCGUGCCAGCAGCCGCGGUAAUACGGAGGAUCCAAGCGUUAUCCGGAUUUAUUGGGUUUAAAGGGUGCGUAGGUGGCCUAUUAAGUCAGGGGUGAAAGACGGUAGCUUAACUAUCGCAGUGCCUUUGAUACUGAUGGGCUUGAAUACAGUUGAAGUGGGCGGAAUGUGACAAGUAGCGGUGAAAUGCAUAGAUAUGUCACAGAACACCGAUUGCGAAGGCAGCUCACUAAAGUGUGAUUGACACUGAGGCACGAAAGCGUGGGGAUCAAACAGG
Molecule: ribosomal RNA, 425 nt
Filed under: uncultured Mucilaginibacter sp.
Lineage: Bacteria; Pseudomonadati; Bacteroidota; Sphingobacteriia; Sphingobacteriales; Sphingobacteriaceae
Description: bacterial SSU rRNA
Rfam family: Bacterial small subunit ribosomal RNA
Source: RNAcentral